CUGGCACAGUAUUCUGCUGUCUUGUGGUAGCCAUGAACUCAAAUAUACUUAAAACAAAACAUUCUAUCAAACUAUGAGCUGUUGGAGGAGUAAAAGCAUGGAAUGUAUCAGCAGAUCCUAAAAUUGAAGUCUAAGCCAAAUAACUCAGCUGACCUGGGCAGAUGUCUACCUGGCAAAAUGUCUAAUUAUCUCUAGUACCUAACAGCCCCAUACUUCUUUGAACGACCAAAUGGAAAAAUAAACAAGCAUCAGGAUCUAAAGAAAACAAAUACAAAAAGCAGGUCUGUGUGGAAGAACUUGAGUAGUACUUGACCAAGGGAACGACAAACAAGGGAGAAAGUAGAACUGGAGAGAUAAGAGUAAAGGGAAGGAGAAACAGUAGUUAAAGGGCCAUGUUUAGGGAAGGAGGUCUGUUGGGCUAAGCUGCCUUCAUCCAGGUUGAAAUUCUCUCCCUUUGAAUCCUUAGAUUCCCAAAAGUGAAAGUGAGAUGGGCACAAAGAUGGCUAUUGAAGUGUCCUUCCACCAUAUUGAUGGGGCUUUUGCAUACGGAAAUGAAAAAAGAAGUUGGACAGGCAAUCUGAGUGAAGAUUGCAGAUGGGACAGUGACCAGAGAGGACAUAUUCUACCCGGAGAAGCUUUGGAAUAUGUACCGCCACCCAGAAAUGGUCAGGCCUGCC
This 677-nucleotide long non-coding RNA is filed under the name Phascolarctos cinereus (koala). RNAcentral's name for it is "lncRNA (ENSPCIG00000037481.1)". Lineage: Eukaryota; Metazoa; Chordata; Mammalia; Diprotodontia; Phascolarctidae. The record is from RNAcentral.